CUAGCCCUAAACGAUGGAUACUUGGUGUGUGGGGUAUUAAGUCCCUACGUGCCGGAGCUAACGCGUUAAGUAUCCCGCCUGGGGAGUACGGUCGCAAGACUGAAACUCAAAGGAAUUGACGGGGACCCGCACAAGCGGUGGAGCAUGUGGUUUAAUUCGACGCAACGCGAAGAACCUUACCUGGGCUAGAAUGCACGAGGCAUAUAGCAGAGAUGUUAUAGCUGGGCAACCAGUCGCGUGCAAGGUGC
This 248-nucleotide ribosomal RNA is filed under the name uncultured bacterium. Its description in RNAcentral is "partial 16S ribosomal RNA". It matches the Rfam family "Bacterial small subunit ribosomal RNA", at positions 796 to 1041 of the family's 1533-position model. The record is from RNAcentral.